CAAUGGGUUCCAUUAGGAACCACUUAGAAAACAAGAAAAAGAUGA
Picea glauca (white spruce) is the source of this 45-nucleotide non-coding RNA. The record is from Rfam. NCBI's taxonomy places the organism in Eukaryota, Viridiplantae, Streptophyta, Pinopsida, Pinales, Pinaceae.